AACAUGAGCAAGGUCGAAGGCCCAGUAAUUUGUAGACCGGAUGGGGAGAGAGACCAUACAGCACCCAUAUGCACCCCCACAGCUAUGUUAGGGAUAGGAGGAGAACCUCGCCCUAACAUGAGCAAGAUCGAAGGUCCGAUUAUUUGUAGACCGGAUGGGGGGAGAGGCCAUACAGCGCCCAUAUGCGCCCCCACAGCCAUGUUAGGGACAGGAGGAGAACCUCGCCCUAACAUGAGCAAGAUCGAAGGCCCGGUUAUUUGUAGACCGGAUGG
RNAcentral lists this long non-coding RNA (272 nucleotides) under Elaeis guineensis (African oil palm). RNAcentral describes it as "long non-coding RNA (EGUI_LNC025870)". Lineage: Eukaryota; Viridiplantae; Streptophyta; Magnoliopsida; Arecales; Arecaceae. The record is from RNAcentral.